Macrosteles quadrilineatus (aster leafhopper) is the source of this 222-nucleotide long non-coding RNA. RefSeq lists it as uncharacterized. Lineage: Eukaryota; Metazoa; Arthropoda; Insecta; Hemiptera; Cicadellidae. The record is from RefSeq and is a predicted model, not a curated record. The transcript has 3 exons.
GGCCAGCAGUCGUGUCUAGUGUUGGGUUCAAUGACCUCUUUAUUUACCAAUUUUGAAUACUUCUUCAUUAUCAGAAUUCAAACUGCUUGACAAUUAAUUUGGAAUUUUCAAAGGGAAUCGUCGGUACGAAGGUUUGAAUGAGAGUGCAAUUUGACCAUGCGUUUCCCAUUGGAUGGAAGAUUUGCCAGAGUGUCGUUAACUAUAGAGACAGACAUUGCUUCA